Molecule: ribosomal RNA, 468 nt
Filed under: uncultured bacterium
Lineage: Bacteria
Description: partial 16S ribosomal RNA
Rfam family: Bacterial small subunit ribosomal RNA
Source: RNAcentral
GACGAACGCUGGCGGCGUGCUUAACACAUGCAAGUCGAACGGAAAGGCCCUGCUUUUGUGGGGUGCUCGAGUGGGGAACGGGUGAGUAACACGUGAGUAACCUGCCCUUGAUUUUGGGAUAACUUCAGGAAACUGGGGCUAAUCUCGGAUAGGAGCUGCUGUUGGGUGGUGGGGGUUGGAAAGUUUCGGCGGUUGGGGUUGGACUCGCGGCUUAACAGCUUGUUGGUGGGGUAGUGGCUUACCCAGGCUUUGGAGGGUCGCCGGCCUGAGAGCGUGGCCGGGGUCAGUAGUACUGCGAGACGGCCCAGACUGCUACAGGAGGCAGCAGUGGGGAAUAUUGCACAAUGGUCGGAAGCCUGAGGCAGCAACGCCGCGUGCGUGAUGACGGCCUUCGGGUUGUAAACCGCUUUCGCCUGUUACGAAGCGUUAGUGACGGUAAUCGGUAAAGAAGCACCGGCUAACUACGUG